GGUCAAGUUAUUAAGGGCAUAAGGCGGAUGCCUUGGCAUUAGGAGCCGAUGAAGGACGUGGUAAGCUGCGAUAAGCUUCGGGGAGGUGCAAGCAACCUUUGAGCCGAAGAUUUCCGAAUGGGGAAACCCACUUGGGGUAAUGCUCAAGUAUCUUCAGGUGAAUACAUAGCCUGUUGAGGGGAACUCGGGGAACUGAAACAUCUAAGUACCCGAAGGAAGAGAAAGAAAAGAUCGAUUCCCUAAGUAGCGGCGAGCGAACGGGGAUUAGCCCAAACCAGAGAGGUUUUCCUCUUUGGGGUUGCGGACUUGUCACAAAGGAAGAGGUAUUGUAACCGAAGGGGUCUGGAAAGGCCCACCACAGAAGGUAACAGUCCUGUAGGUGAAACGAGAAGACUUCCGACAAGCUCCAGAGUACCACGAGACACGUGAAACCUUGUGGGAAGCUGGGAGGACCACCUCCCAAGGCUAAAUACUACCUAAUGACCGAUAGCGCAUAGUACCGUGAGGGAAAGGUGAAAAGAACCCCGGAAGGGGAGUGAAAUAGAACCUGAAACCUUAUGCCUACAAGCUGUGGAAGCACAUUAUUAGUGUGACCGCGUACUUUUUGUAGAACGGGCCAACGAGUUACGGUAUGUAGCAAGGUUAAGAAGCUAAGCUUCGGAGCCGCAGCGAAAGCGAGUCUUAAAUGGGCGCUUCAGUUGCAUGCCGUAGACCCGAAACCAGGCGACCUAUCCAUGGACAGGAUGAAGCGAAAGUAAAAUUUCGUGGAGGUCCGAACCCACGCACGUUGAAAAGUGCGGGGAUGAGCUGUGGAUAGCGGUGAAAUUCCAAUCGAGCCUGGAGAUAGCUGGUUCUCCCCGAAAUAGCUUUAGGGCUAGCCUCGGGAUUAGAGACAAGGGGGUAGAGCACUGACUGUCCUAGGGGCCCUUUGGGUUACCGAAGACUAUCAAACUCCGAAUACCUUGUUCUUUUUCCCGGGAGUCAGUCUAUGGGUGAUAAGGUCCAUGGACAAAAGGGUAACAGCCCAGACCAUCAGCUAAGGUCCCAAAGUGUGGAUUAAGUGGAAAAGGAUGUGGGAUUGCACAGACAACCAGGAUGUUGGCUUAGAAGCAGCCACUCAUUCAAAGAGUGCGUAAUAGCUCACUGGUCGAGUGAUCCUGCGCCGAAAUAUUACCGGGGCUAAAAUCCACCACCGAAGCUAUGGAUCCGUAAGGAUGGUAGGGGAGCGUUGUAUAAGGAGCGAAGCUGUACCGCAAGGAGCAGUGGACUUUAUACAAGUGAGAAUGUUGGCAUGAGUAGCGAGAGGCAGGUGAGAAUCCUGCCGGCCGAAAACCCAAGGUUUCCUGAGGAAGGUUCGUCCUCUCAGGGUUAGUCGGGGCCUAAGCUCAGGCCGAAAGGCGUAGGCGAUGGACAACAGGUUGAUAUUCCUGUACCACCAACCACCAUUUGAGUGAUGGGGUGACACAGUAGGAUAGGCCAUCCUUCAGUUGGUUUUGAAGGUCCAAGCGUUAAGGGAGUCGAAAUAGGCAAAUCCGUUUCGAUAAUUCUAAGGCGUGAUGGGGAGCGAAAUUUAAGUAGCGAAGUGGUUGAUUUCACACUGUCAGGAAAAGCCUCUAACGAGGUGGAAGGUGCCCGUACCGCAAACCGACACAGGUGGGUGAGGAGAGAAUCCUAAGGCUAGCGAGAGAACUAUUGUUAAGGAACUCGGCAAAAUUACCCCGUAACUUAGGGAGAAGGGGUGCCCCGUUAGUGUGAAAGCAUGAGGGGGCCGCAGAGAAUAGGCCCAAGCGACUGUUUACCAAAAACAUAGGUUUCUGCUAAGUCGCAAGACGAAGUAUAGGAGCUGACGCCUGCCCGGUGCUGGAAGGUUAAGGGGAUGUGUUAGAGCAAUCGAAGCAUUGAACUUAAGCCCCAGUAAACGGCGGCCGUAACUAUAACGGUCCUAAGGUAGCGAAAUUCCUUGUCGGGUAAGUUCCGACCCGCACGAAAGGCGUAACGAUUUGGGCGCUGUCUCAACAAUAGACUCGGUGAAAUUGUAAUUCCGGUGAAGAUGCCGGAUACCUGCGACAGGACGGAAAGACCCCGUGGAGCUUUACUGCAGUUUGGCAUUGGAUUUCGAUGCUGCAUGUACAGGAUAGGUGGGAGGCUUGGAAAGUGGAACGCAAGUUUCGCUGGAGCCGUCCUUGGGAUACCACCCUUGCAGUAUUGAGGUUCUAACCAUGUACCGUGAAACCGGUACUGGGACACUGUCUGACGGGCAGUUUGACUGGGGCGGUCGCCUCCUAAAGAGUAACGGAGGCGCCCAAAGGUUCCCUCAGCACGGUCGGAAAUCGUGCGAAGAGUGCAAAGGCAUAAGGGAGCUUGAUUGCGAGACAUACAGGUCGAGCAAGGACGAAAGUCGGGCUUAGUGAUCCGGUGGUUCCGAGUGGAAGGGGCCAUCGCUCAACGGAUAAAAGCUACCCCGGGGAUAACAGGCUUAUCUCCCCCAAGAGUCCACAUCGACGGGGAGGUUUGGCACCUCGAUGUCGGCUCGUCUCAUCCUGGGGCUGGAGUAGGUCCCAAGGGUUGGGCUGUUCGCCCAUUAAAGAGGCACGCGAGCUGGGUUCAGAACGUCGUGAGACAGUUCGGUCCCUAUCCGUCGCAGGCGUAGGAAAUUUGAGAGGAGCUGUCCUUAGUACGAGAGGACCGGGAUGGACGCACCUCUGGUGCACCAGUUGUCACGCCAGUGGCACAGCUGGGUAGCUAUGUGCGGAAUGGAUAAGCGCUGAAGGCAUCUAAGCGCGAAGCCAACCUCAAGAUAAGAUUUCCCACUUCAUAGAAGGUAAGAUCCCAGAAAGACUAUCUGGUUGAUAGGCCCAGGGUGUAAGUGCAGCAAUGCAUUCAGCUGAUGGGUACUAAUAGAUCGAGGACUUGACCAA
Molecule: ribosomal RNA, 2918 nt
Rfam family: Bacterial large subunit ribosomal RNA
Source: Rfam